UGGGGAAUAUUGCACAAUGGGCGCAAGCCUGAUGCAGCAACGCCGCGUGAACGAUGAAGGUCUUCGGAUCGUAAAGUUCUGUUGCAGGGGAAGAUAAUGACGGUACCCUGUGAGGAAGCCCCGGCUAACUACGUGCCAGCAGCCGCGGUAAUACGUAGGGGGCUAGCGUUAUCCGGAUUUACUGGGCGUAAAGGGUGCGUAGGUGGUCUUUCAAGUCGGUGGUUAAAGGCUACGGCUCAACCGUAGUUAGCCUCCGAAACUGGAAGACUUGAGUGCAGGAGAGGAAAGUGGAAUUUUUAGUGUAGCGGUGAAAUGCGUAGAUAUUAAAAAGAAUACCGGUGGCGAAGGCGACUUACUGGGCUCAUUCUGACGCUGAGGAACGAAAGCGUGGGUAGCAAACAGG
This 403-nucleotide ribosomal RNA is filed under the name Verrucomicrobiota bacterium. Its description in RNAcentral is "Verrucomicrobia bacterium partial 16S ribosomal RNA". It matches the Rfam family "Bacterial small subunit ribosomal RNA", at positions 355 to 776 of the family's 1533-position model. The record is from RNAcentral. Lineage: Bacteria; Pseudomonadati; Verrucomicrobiota.